AACGAACGCUGGCGGCAUGCCUAACACAUGCAAGUCGAACGAGCCGUUCGGGUCUAGUGGCGCACGGGUGCGUAACGCGUGGGAACCUGCCCUUAGGUUCGGAAUAACUCCCCGAAAGGGGUGCUAAUACCGGAUAAUGUCUUCGGACCAAAGAUUUAUCGCCUUUGGAUGGGCCCGCGUUGGAUUAGCUAGUUGGUAGGGUAAAAGCCUACCAAGGCGACGAUCCAUAGCUGGUCUGAGAGGAUGAUCAGCCACACUGGGACUGAGACGCGGCCCAGACUCCUACGGGAGGCAGCAGUGGGGAAUAUUGGACAAUGGGCGAAAGCCUGAUCCAGCAAUGCCGCGUGAGUGAUGAAGGCCUUAGGGUUGUAAAGCUCUUUUACCCGGGAUGAUAAUGACAGUACCGGGAGAAUAAGCUCCGGCUAACUCCGUG
RNAcentral lists this ribosomal RNA (433 nucleotides) under uncultured bacterium. RNAcentral's name for it is "partial 16S ribosomal RNA". It matches the Rfam family "Bacterial small subunit ribosomal RNA", at positions 29 to 507 of the family's 1533-position model. The record is from RNAcentral.